This 253-nucleotide ribosomal RNA is filed under the name uncultured bacterium. Its description in RNAcentral is "partial 16S ribosomal RNA". It matches the Rfam family "Bacterial small subunit ribosomal RNA", at positions 524 to 776 of the family's 1533-position model. The record is from RNAcentral.
UACGUAGGUGGCAAGCGUUGUCCGGAUUUACUGGGCGUAAAGCGUGCGCAGGCGGCGCGUUAAGACAGGUGUGAAAGCCCCGAGCUUAACUUGGGAAUUGCGCUUGUGACUGGCGUGCUGGAGUGUGGCAGAGGGAGGUGGAAUUCCACGUGUAGCAGUGAAAUGCGUAGAGAUGUGGAGGAACACCGAUGGCGAAGGCAGCCUCCUGGGCCAGCACUGACGCUCAUGCACGAAAGCGUGGGGAGCAAACAGG